GAGUUGGUGGUGGCAGAGACUUAUAAACUGGUGCGGGAUUGAUAUAGCUCCUUGGGUGUGGAGGCGAUAUGUAGACUAGGGUUGGUGGAGGUGGUGACUUGUUGACUGGGUGUGUGGAGGGUAGUAAGGCUCCUUAGUAGUGGUGGCGACUUGUAAACUGUAGUCGGUAGAGGCGGUGACUUGUAGAUUGGGGUAUGAGGAGGGUAGUAUGGCUCCUUAAGUGGUUGUGGUGACUUGUAAACUGGAGUCGGCGAAGGUGGCGACUUAUAGACUGGGUGUUUGGAGGGUAGUAAGGCUCUUUGGGUGGGGGUGGCAACGUAUAAACUUGAGUUAGUGGAAGUGGUGAUUUGUAGACUGGGUGUGUGGGGGAUAGUAUGGCUCCUUAGGUAGUAGUGGUGAUUGGUAAAUAGGAGCCGGUGGAAAUGGCGACUUAUAGACUGGGUGUGUGGAGGGUAGUAAGGCUCUUUUGGUGGGGGUGACGACUUGUAAACUGGAGUUGAUGGAGGUGGCAAUUUGUAGACUGGGGUGUGUGGAGGAUAGUAUGGCUCCUUGGGUGGUGAUGGUGGUGACUAGUAAAGCGGAGUUGAAGGUGAUGGUGAUUUAUAAAGUGGUGCAGGAUGAUAAGGUGUUGGUGAAGGAUGGUAUGGCUCUUUUGGUGAUGGUGGAGAUAAAUAUUGAUAAUUUGCUGAGCUUUGGGAAGCCAAGCAAAGUGACACAAAAACCACUAAAAGAGUGGAAAAUAGAGAGGCCAUUUCUCCCAAAAAGAAACAAAGGAGAGAAGUUGUUGUCCCUUUAAGCUGCACUCAAAGCCCUUUGUAUAGCUUUCAUUUAGAAGGUAUAAGGCUAAAGUUAUGUAUUUUUAAUUAGUUUUGUCAUGUUGUCGGUUCAAUUUGACCUUUGUUGGUAUACUUUUUUUUUUUUGUUGGAUAGAAGGUGCAAGCUAAGCAAAGAAAUUAACUACUAUGGCAGCUAUACUAUUUAUGAUGCAAUAAUUCAAAAAAAAAUACGUGGAUCCCACAACUUCCCACAAGAUUUUAGUUAUAGGAAUCUGAGCACUUUUUUUUUACACUUAGGGUGUGUAUGGUACGAUGGAAAAUAUUUUCUGAAAAAUGUUGGUUGUAGUAAAAAAUAUUUUCUAAGAUAAUUCAUUUUUUCCUAUUUGAGGGAAAAUGACUUCCCUCAUGGACCAAGGGAAGUUAUUUUUCGGAAAAUGAUAAAUGUGACUUAUGCCCCCAUCCUCACCCCUCUUCCCACCCCAACAACACUCAUAUUCACAUAACUCAAAAAAUUCACAUUUUUAAAAAAUUUAUUUUACUCAAAAUAUUUUUCACUGUGCUUUGCUUCAAUUUUUCACUGCUUGAAAUAAAAAAUAGUGAAGCCCGACUUUUUUUCAUUUCCAAUGUUCGUUGAAUGUAUUGUUAUUUUCAUAUGCAUAGAGGAAGACUUACCUAUGUUACUUUUGCUAAUUGCAUAUUUUAUUUUGUCAUCGAUGUUACUUCUUUCACGAGGUUGAAUAAGCUUAUCGUCCCGUUAUAUUUCUAUUGAUUGUAGUAUCUUGAGAUUGUCCUGAAAAAAUGUUGAAAAGUGUCUCCUAUAUUUGCUAAUUAAUAGUUGCUUAAAUUUAGUGAUUGUAAUAUUUUAGUAUUCGAUAUUGAUAUUAUUUAUUAUGCUUAAAUUAGUUCUUACAAAUUGUUGAGUUGCUAGAUGCACUGAUAUACUAGUUAACAGUUAGUAGUAUUUUCUAAAAAAAAAAAUUUCACUCACCAAUCAAACACUAGAAAAUAUUUUUCUAAAAAAUAUUUUCUACUCACCAACCAAACACCAUAAAAUAUUUUUCGAAAAUAUUUUUCACUCACCAACCAAACAUGAGAAAAUAAAUAGAAAACCAACUUAUUUUCCAAGAAAACAUUUUUCAUGAAAAAUAUUUUCCAUCGUACCAAACACACCCUUAGUAUUUGAAGAAUUCAAUUCUUGUGGAUUCUGACAGCUUAACUAACCUUCACUUAAGUGCUGAGAAAUUUAAAACAAUAUGUAUACAGUAUCAUAUAUUCUUUAAAAGAAAUGAUAUGUCAUUGUUAAAAGAGUUUAAUCUAGAGAAAACUGUGCAUGUGACUCGCUUUCAUUACCAACUAAAUCAAUUAUGUUCUUUCCUUUUGUGUAGUAGAGCUAAAAGAAACAUCAACCGAUUAUUUUGUAGCUCAAUGUUGAAAACUUAUGUGGUUCAAUAUGAUAUCUCUGAAAAUUUUACAGCUUGUUUGAUAGCUGCUGCCUAAUAAUGUAUUGUAUCGUGUUGCUAGUUUAAAUAUAAUGUGUAUUUUGAUUGUUUCUUAAAUUUUACUGUAUCAUUAAAUCUAUAACUAGAUAGCAAUAAAAAGUCUCAUUUGGUGUAACGACCUAUUUGAUGUGAUCGCGUUGUUACCUUUUUUCCCCUUUUUAUUUAUUAUUUAAUUAUCUUAAUGCUCCUUUAUCCUAUAUUUUUAUAGUAACUCUACCUCACAUUUUUCUAUUUUCCUUCUAGGCUUAUCCUUGAACUGUUAUAUGAAGGAUGCAAUGUAAUGACGAAAAAGGUAUAAUAAAUCCAAAUAUCGUAACAUUCACUAAAAUAAUAAAGUACAUACAAUACAACAUGAUACUUUAUGAAACAAUAUCAUUCCAAGUUAAGGACUUGAUUAGAAUGUGCAUGUUAAGUGUCUGAUGGGUUACUUAAGUAUAAAGUUCAAGUCCAUAUAAAAAGAUAAACCCUAAUUAUAAUGCCUUCAUCAUGGCUGGUCGACAGUAGUCUACUACUGAAUUUCCUCCUUUGAACCCAAAUUCUAUUGUGAAUAUCCAAACCCUACCGUUGGAUAAAUCUUUUGUUGAAUCAAUCAGUACAACAAAGUUGGACACCGUCUCUCGCAAAGAGGUGGUCAUGGUGGAAGGAAUCCCGAAUGUCACACUGAAAAAAGUGGAUACAGUGAAUAAAAUGGAGAAUUUGCAAUUUGUUGUCAUAGGUAAAUUCACUUAAGAAUGGACGGGUAUAGAAGAAUUAAGGAAUAUUAUCCCACAGCAAUGCAACAUUAAUGGUGAUUGUCAAAUUGGAGUAUUCAGAAAUAAACAUAUUUUCAUUCGUUAGACACAGGAGUCGGAUUUUAUUAAUAUCAUCAUCUCAAAGGGAGCUUUUUCCUUGCACUGUAAGGAUGGGUUCUCUUAUUUGAUGCGAACACUCUCACACUUAUCUAUGAUCCCCUUUUCAAAGAAACUUUAGAGACUACAAAGACUUUCGCAUGGAUUUCUUUCCCAAAUCUAUUGCCUACCUAUUAUGUCAAGGAAUGUUUGUUUUCUUUAGCUGCAACAGUGGGAAAGCCUGUCCAACUUGAUCUAGCCACCAUUAAUAGGACUAGACCAAGUUGUGCAAGGAUUAAGGUCUUGGUUGAUCUAAAAGCUGAUUUCUCUAAAUCAGUCCGGAUGGAUAUUGAAAAUGAAGAGUCAGGUAAAUGCAGGACAAUAGUGAAGCGGAUUAAAUUCGACCAUAUUCCUAAGUAUUGUCAUGAAUGCAAUAUGCAAGUUCAUGCUAAGAAUCAAUGUAGAAACUUAGGCACCCCAGAGGAUGCAACAAUGGCAGUAACAGUGGAUAAUAAGGAAUAAAAGAGGCCAGUACAACAUCUUCCUAAAUUCACAAUGCCUUUUGUACACAAAUUUCAAAACGGAAAAGCAUGAGUUCUUUCGAGUGGGAUUGUAGUUGGAGAUCCUACUAACUGGAUGGUUAUUAAAAAUGAUAAGAGGAUAGUUAAUACUUCCCAACAGCCUCUUUUAAUGAUAUAGUUAAUACUUCCCAACAGCCUCUUUCAAUGACAAAUAACCAAUUUGCUGCUCUAGCUACCGACGACAAAGAACCUGCUGAAUUAAACAUUUCGACAAAGGAGAGUUCAAACCUUAAGGCAUGUACGGAUGUGUUCCAAAUAAUAAGGAAAAUGAAAAAGUUAAUCUGUGGUCCAAUAAAGAAUCUGCUAAAGAGUGGGUAUCAAGGGAUUUUGGCAAGCUAGGUGAAGUUCCCAAUUCUGUAAUACCUGUACAGCAACAAGGCAGUCAGCAACUAAGUAAUCAACAACAAAGGCAAGAUAGAGAUAAUAAUGCUAAAGAGAAUAAUAAAGAUGGUAAUGGGAUGGAGAAUGAUAUGCAGGUUAAAUCUUUAAUAAAUCAGGAGCAUAAUAUUGAUGAUGGUCAGCAACAAUGCCUCAUAGUCAAAAAGGACAAUCUGCAAUCUAUAGAAGAUGUGCAACCAGAUACCAAGCAAUAGUCAAUGCAGAUUAAUCAAGAUUUUUACAGUGGAAGCUAUGAUAAUGGAGAUAGGUCAGUUGAGGAAAGUGUGGGGAUAACAGUUGUGAUGCAAGGGGAACAAAAUGUGUGUUUAGAAAUAAUGGAGAUUCCAAAACCAGUGCAGAUAGAUGAAUCAUUUAUCGUUACCAAGAGUUCUCCCAACAAAGUAAUACAUGACAUUGUCUCUCAUAGUUUAGGGUACAUUAAAUGCAGUAAUCAAACUCACAUGGCCAAAGGAGUUAAAGAAGUAGAUGUAGAAGAUGAUUCGAAGGAUCAUGCUCCAUCGGAAGCUGAUUUAUCACCAAGACUGAUGAAAAUCUCUAAAAAAGGAUAAAAAAGAAUGUGGAUGGGAGAAAACUCACAACCUACCAGAGUUCAUCCUAAGCGAUCCAAAUCUGCCCUAAAUUAUCAAUGAAAGCACUUAUUUGGAACAUUAGGUCUGUGAAGACACAACAAGAUUUCAAAGACUUCAGAUGCUUAAUAAUUAUCAUAAGUUCACCGGUUUCAGUUUGUUAGAGCCUUUUCAGAAUGUUAGAUAUAAGAGAAGAUUGAAAAUGCAUAGGGCUAUGUCAAACUGCAAUAGCAAGAUUUGGUUUUUCUCCUCUCAAGAUGUGAUAACAACUGUUAUUAAAGACACUGAUCAUCAGCUACAGUUCACUUGCAGGAGUAGGCUCAGAGCUUAGAUUUAUUACUCUUGUUUAUGCAAAGUGUUCUAAAGAGGAGAGAUUAAUCUUAUGGAAGGAUAUUUAUCAAGUUGCUUCUGGAAUUUCAAAACCUUGGAUGCUAGGAGGAGAUUUAAUGUUGUUUUGAAUUCUGAAGAGAAAAUUGGUGGCCUUCCAAUUCUUGAUGCAGGCCAUGGGGACUUUCAAUCAUGUAUUUCUUAUUGUGAUUUGAUGGAGAUACCUUUUAAAGAAAGUUCUUUCACUUGGUGGAAUGGUAGAGCAGGUAAUGACUGUAUUUUAGAAAGAUUGGAUAGAAUUUUUACUAAUCAACAACAACAACAACAACAACAACAACAACAACAAACCCAGUGUAUUCCCACCUAGUGGGGUCUGGGGGGGUAAGAUGUACGCAGUCCAUACCUCUACCUCUGCUGAAUUUUUACUAAUCAAGAUUUACAAAAUAAGUUCAAUCACAUGAAGGUAGAACAUCUUGCUACUAGUUCAGAUCAUGCUCCCAUGUUGUUGUAUUGUUAUGACAGAGCUAUCAGUUACAAGAAAUCUUUUAGAUUUCUUAAGUUUUGGACUGAUCAUCCUAAGUUCCUAGAAGUAGUAAGGCAGAAUUGGUGUUCUUCAGGUUCUCAGAGUCCAUUCUUAGAUUUCAAAGCAAAGAUUAAGAGAAUUAAAGUUGCUUUGACAAGAUGGAGUAAAGAGACUUCUGGGGAUAUUUUUAAAUAGUUGAUAAUCAGGGAAGAAAUUGUCAAGAUCAAAGAGAAAUUAUUUGAGGAAUGCCCUACGGCUGAUAACAGCGAAGUGUUGCAAAGAGCUCAGUCCGAGCACAAAAUAUAUCUUCGUUUUGAAGAGAUUUUUUGGCAGCAAAAAGCAGGUUAUGACUGGUUUGAGAAUGGUGACAGAAAUAUUAAAUUUUUUCAUAGCACUGUGAAGGGGAGGAGGAAAAGAUUGAAUUUGAAUAGAAUUCAAAUUAAUCAGGGUAUUUGGCUGGAUAAAGAAGAAAAGAUAGCCGCAGAGGUUGUUAUGUUUUAUCAGGACCAAUUUAGACAAGAACAAGAGGCUAAUGUUUUUUCAUAACUGAAUAAUAUACCUAAGAGUAUUUCUGAUGAGCAAAAUAUUGUUUUAAGUCAGUAAGCUGAUCUUGAAGAAGUUAAAAAGGCACUUUUUAGCUUAAAUGAAUAUAGUGCAAGUGGCCCGGAUGGGUUAACAAGUAGGUUCUAUCAGGUUCGCUGGGAUAUUAUUGGUAAUGAUGUUCUUAAUCUGGUGCAAGAUUUCUUAAAAGGUAAUACUCUUCCCAAAUUCAUUAUUCAUACUAAUUUGGUGUUGCUUCCCAAGAAGGAUUUUAUUCAAUUUUUCUCAGAUUUGAGACCAAUUAGUCUUAAGUAAUUUUAUUAAUAAGAUCAUUUCUAGGAUUGUGCAUGACAAAAGUGAACUUCUUUUGCCUAGACUGAUUUCUUUUAAUCAAUCUAAAUUUGUCAAAGAGAGAAGAAUUAUUAAAAAUUUCCUCCUGACUCAAGAGAUAGUUACUGACAUCAGAAAAAUGGGUAAGCCGGCUAAUGUGGUCUUAAAGCUUGAUAUGACUAAGGCUUAUGAUAGGGUUUCCUGGUUUUUCCUGAUGAAGGUUCUAAGAAAAAUAGGGUUCUCAAAAUUGUUUAUGGACUUGUUUUGGAGAUUAUUGUCUAAUAAUUGGUAUUCUAUACUAAUUAAUGGGCGAUCACACGGCUUUUUUCACUCAACUAGGGGAGUAAAACAAAGAAAUCCUUUAUCUCCAGCUUUCUAUUUGAUGAUGCUCAAUAUGUAGGUUAUGAUAUGCCAAAGUGGAGUUCCAAUAUUAAUCAUCUUGCUUAUGCAGAUGACACUAUUAUAUUCGCUGCAGCUAACAGAUACUCUUUGAGAAAGAUUUUUUCAGUGUUACGGGAAUAUGAAACUCAAUCAGGGCAAAAAGUUAAUAAAGAGAAGAAUGCUUUCUACAUGCAUCAGAAUUCAGCUGCAGUUGAUAAACAAAUGGUGGAAGAUUGUGCGGCUAUUUCUAAAGGCCAAUUUCCUUUGAAAUACCUUGAAUGUCCUAUCACUCAUGCUAGAAAAAGAAAGAGUCAUUAUUCAGAGCUAAUUCAGAAGGUUAAGUCAAAAUUACAGGCUUGAAAAGGUAAUAUUCUCUCAUAUGGGGGGAAAGGAGGUCCUUAUCUCUAGUGUUCUUCAAAGUGUUCCUAUACAUAUCCUUUCUGUUGUUGUCCCUCCUAUUUGUGUAUUGAAGGAGCUUCACAGAAUAUUUGCAAAUUUUUUUGGAGUAAUAAGGCCGAUGGAAGAAACAAACACUGGGCUGCUUGGGUAAAGGUGUUUUUACCAAAACAGAAGGCAGUUUGAGUUUUAGAUCGAUGUUUGAGGUAUCUCAAGCCAUGUAUCCUAAGUUCUGGUGGAAGUUCAGAACUCAAAAUACUACUUGGUCCAACUUUAUAUGAGACAAGUAUUGCAAAAAGCAAAUACCUUCACUAGUUUAAUGGAAAGGUGGCUCGCAAGUAAGGAAGCAUAUGUUGCAAAAUAGGGAUCUAGUGGAGCAAUUCUUGUGGUGGAACCUAAAGGAGGUACUUCUACAGUUUGGUAUGAUAAUUGGACUCAACUUGGUCCUCUUUUCAAACACCAGGUAGAGGUCAUUCUUCUUUUCCAGUGAUGGAUAUUGAGGAAUUCAUGUUGGGCUCAGACUGGGAUUUUGAGAAUAUGCAAUAUCAUUUAUCAGAUAAUGUAGUAGAGCAUGUAAGAUUACAUUUGAGGCUUGUACGACAUCCUGGAGAAGGUGACAAGCCCUGGUGGAUUAAAUUUAGUUCUGGCAAGUUCUCGGUUAAAAGUGCUUGGGAAGAACGGAGGAAAAAAACGUUUGUAAUGAGUCAUUUCAGAAGAUCUGGGUAAAAGAGAUUCCUUUCAAAAUUUCUUACUUUGGUUGGAGAGUUUGGACAAAUAGGAUUCCUGUAGCCUCUGUUUUAGCUAAUUGGAAUCCUAACUUGUCUCCUCUUUAUUCAUAUUGUGUUUCAAGAAAUCAUGGAGCACCUCUUUCUAAAAGGUGAAGUGGUUUAUUUCGGUUUGGAUUUAUUACGCCAAUGCUGCAGGUAUUCUGGGGCCCUGGGUUCAAAUUAAACUAUCCAUAAAGAAGUGGUGGGAUAUAAAUGGUAAUUAAAGACAAAGAUUCAUCUUUCAGGUAGUUCCUACUCUCAUUUUGUGGUUUUUACGGAAAAGAAGGAAUGCAUUAGUUCAUGGAGGUUCAUACUCUACAGCCAAGGUUAUUUGGGAUAUUAAUGGUUUAAUUAAGAAAAUUCUCAGAAAGAAGUUUGGUUAUGAUCAGUUACCAUCUAGUUGGCCUCAAAUAGUUGCUUUUUGACUUAUUUAGACCUACAUUUUUAUCUAGAUGGAUAAGAUGGUAUCCCCCACCUAGGGGAUAGUGGAAAUAUAACACUGAUGGAACCUCGAGAGGUAAUCUAGGUCGAAUUUCAGCUGAUUUUUGUGUACGAAAUCAUGUAGGUGAUCUUGUGUAUGCUAAGGGUUUCUCUAUUCCAGAUUCCACUAAUCUGGUUGUUAAAGUCAUUGCUAUAGGAGUUGGUUUACAUUAUUGCUUAGAAAAUCAAAUUGUCAACAUUAUUGUGGAAUCUGAUUCCCUUGUAGUAGUCAACAUGAUUAAUGGAGUGUGGGAAAUUCCUUAGAGUGUGAUAAUGGAGGUCAACUCCAUUAAAGAUAUGAUGGAUUCUUGUUCAGCAAGAGUACAACACUCCUUAGGAAAGGGAAAUACUCUUGCUGAUUAUUUAGCUAACUUGGUUUUUCAUUUUGCAGGUAACUUUGAAUUCAACAGUUUUCAUGAAAUUCCAAGCGCAGGUAGGAAGAUUAUCAAUCUAGACAAACAAGGCAUUCCACAAAUGAGGAUAAGACAGUGUACAUCAACUAAUUCAACAAGGGAUGGAUCGCUACUGCAGAUUACAAAGUGAAUUUACAAACUCUAUUAGCAGUGACUAGUUACUGGUGAAUUUAGUGCAGUCUGAAUUAGUUUCGUUUGGUUAACAUACCAUGCACCUGUGGGAAUUUUUAGGUGUUACAUAGAGUAUAAACCCAGGACUCACUUAUACUAGUUGCUAAUUUCUAGGUAUAGAGUUUAUAAAAAUCAAGCACAAAUUUAGAGGCAUUUCAUAGUCUCAAAUCUGUUGAUGAGGAGAGGAUGGAGUACCCGGGACCUCAAAUUUAGCGGCGGAAGAUAGACAGGGUAUAAUUAUCAAGCAAUACAAUUCUUUUAUACAGAUUCCACUUCAGAGAAGAACAAAAAUAAUCAUUGCCAACUUAUGGAUUGCAAAGUGUCAAAAUACAAAUUUCAGCAUUUGGAGUAACACAAGAAGGCAAGGAGCAAGAUAAGUAUUAAUGGACAGUAGUGGUGAUUAACAUUCACUAAUACUGAUUGAUUUCUAAGUCAUACAAUUGAAAUGGGGGUUAAGGUGAACCUGUUAGUUCUGGAUCCUUGGUGGUGGUAUCAAUCUCCUUGAGGUUUAUUCCGCUAGGAAAAAGAGAGAACAGUGAAAUCAUUUUUUUCAUUUCACAGAUGAGUUUAGAAUAGAAAAAGGGAGGUGACUUACCAUAUCAUCUGCAAUAAAUAUUUAUUGAUUUGGAGCUGUAGAAAUUUAGUUGAAACCAAUUUCAUGAAGUUUGUAAGAGAUUAAAGUGUCUUAGUGAAAUUUGAUGGAUGUUCCAUGGCAAUAAUGGCUUCCACAACUUAAUGCAACAACCAGAUGAGGUUGGAGUAGCAAAGAUUGAAACCAUAGUUGCCUCUCCGUGAUGUCUUUCAGCUUUGAGUUUUAUCCACACAUUCCUUUUCCUGCUUACAUUUUCUGUUUUUGGUCUUUUCAGAUGUCUGGAUAUAUUUGUUGCUUUUGUUUUGGACCCGGGUCUUGCUUAACUUGGGCCAAUUUGUACAUAUCUUUUCUGCUCCUGAAUAAAUUGGGCUCUGGUCCAUCUUCAAUUAAAAAAAAGGAAAAAUGACAUGGACUGACCAGUUUAAAAAAAGGAAAUUUUGCAUAUAUACCGACAUGUUUACUCUUAAUUACCAAAAAUUUCAACAUUUUUCAAAAUCUCCAAAAAUUCCAACAUUUGACCUCUGAUAAUACAAGUUAAUCACAUUAGAUACAUACUGUUGAUAUAUGUAUCUAAUGUGAUUAACUUGUAUCAUACAUUAGAUAUAUGUAGGGUUACAUUAGAUACAUGUAGGGUUACAUUAAAUACAUGUAGGGUUAACUUGUAUCUCAAAAAUAGUCCCAAAUAUGAAAUGUUGGAAUUUAUGUAAUUUUUCAGAAGUAGGGGGAUUUUUAGAAAUUUUGAAAGUUAUGAUGUUUAUUUAUGUAAUUUUUUGUUAAAAAGAAAAAAAAUAGCCCACACUAUGAAAAUAUGGACAAUUGGAGCCAGUAGACCCAAUUUAUUUCCUGUUUUUUCAGUCAUUUGGCCCAAAACUAUUCUCCUUACACAAUUAAGGGGAUUAAAUACUCUUCACAGUAGGCUACUCUUAAAUCACUUUUCUUUUCAAACUAUACUUUCCCAAAAAAAUGUUCACCUCUAUUAUGUGUCGAUCAAUCUACUGUGUUUUGUGAUAACAAUUGAGUUAGUAGGGCACAUGCAGUCUCUAUACCCAAUUGAUACACUUUUGUACCAUAUUGAUACAUGUUUAUACCCAAUUGAUACUCUUUAUACUACAUUGAUACACUUUUAUACUCAAUUGAUACUCUUUUAUACUAGAUUGAUACACUUUUAUACCACGUCGAUACAGUAUGUAUAUUACAUAAAUACAUCUUUUACAGAGGAAAUUUGUGCAAGCAUAUACAGUAACAAUACCAAAUUAAUACAGUAAAUCAAAAUUAGUAAGUACGAACAUAAUUGAUACUCUUUAAAAUUAUAGUAUUAAUAGUACAUAAAGUAACAAAAAAAAAGAUCAAAUCAUCUUUCCAUCAAUUAUUGUUUUGAUUUAGUUCAUUCUUUCUCCUUAACGCUCUUUUAUAUUUCUAACUUCCUCUUCCUACCUUUAUUUUCUCUUCUUUUUUUCUUUCCUUCAUUACUAAGUUAGUUGUAAACACCCAUAUGAUGAAGUAUGUAUUUACUCUUGAGUUGAUGUCAUAUUUAUCCUACUAAGAAAAAUCACAGGUUCUGUAAGGAAUUGUCUAGACAUGGAGUACAUAUAAAAAUUUAUUCUGCCACUUGAAAAAAACCUGUAAAAAACUAAUUAAAUUCAGAUUUUUUGAGAUUUUAUACAAAAUUUAUGAAAUGAGAAAGGUAAAUUGGAGUAUCGAAAAAAGGUAAAGGAACAAAUAUUUAGGAGUUUGAAUGGAAAGGAAACUGGGAAUGAAAAGAAAAGAAAGAAAGGGAAAGUUACUUCAAGGAUGUUUUUGAUUUUGUUUAAGCGUAUGACAGUGAAGGUUAGUUAGUGGAAUUACUCUGUGUCUAUUUAUGAUGUAUUUAAUUUUGACUGCUAUUUUUUUAUAUUAUUUUAGUUUUAGGUGUUAUUUCUGUCAUUUGCCCAAAAAAAAAAACUUACUAUUUUACUACAAUUCUUGUUGGUAAGAAUACAUUAUUUCUUUUUUUUUUUUAGGGCAAACAACAUAAAUUUCGAGAAUUUGGAGCUUAAUUACAGAAAAUUCUGAUAUUUUGCAUAAUUGUUGAAAAUCUCAAUUUUGGAUCUGUUGAGAUACAUUAUUAGCUUCUGAUACAAUCAAAAAGAUACAUUUUUAACUUUGUAUAGAUAUAUAAUUAGCUUCCGCUACAUAUUUUUUAAAUUUUGCGUUUGUUGAGAUAUAUAAUACAUCCAAUGAAGAUAUAUUUUUUUCUUUGUAAAGAUAUAUAAUUAGCUCCCAGUGCAGUUUUUUUAUUUUUGGGUCUGUCGAGAUACAUAAUAAGCUUUCGAUACAUCCAACGAAGAUAUAUAAUUAAUUGAGCUUUUUGUAGUUAUUUUGUAAGAGUGAAAAUUUUGUAUAAAUAUAAUAAGUUAAGAUGUAUAUUUAUACUAUUUUUCCAUAAUUUGCUUGCGAACCAAAUCGACCACUAAAGAAUUGAAAAGUUAAACAAUUUGUUCCCAAUACAGAACAAACUUUAGCCUAAAAUUUAAUGCUAAAAAUUACUACAAUGAGCUGAGUGGCUGAAAUGGUGCCACUUAAGAAUAAUUUGGUGGAUGAAAUGAAUGAAUUGUUUUGGAGUACAAAUUUUGAUUUAGACAAUCUAUUGAAAUUUAUUAUAGUACUGUUUAUAUUUAGGGGCCAUUUUUCAGGAUCUAUGAAAAAUUUAUAAUGUUGAGUAGAACAUACUAUAAAAGUAAUGUUGGAUAGAGCAUAUCACACAUUAGCACAAUCCUAAUCAAUAAUGAUAGCUAUUCAUCUCUAGUUCACUUUUAUAGUUAAUCAAAGAAUUAUUAACAACGAAAAUUAAUUUUCUUGUUUUGGUUUUCUAUCAUUGAAUCAGCAAUAGUUUGAUAUAAGAACUAUUCAGAACAGACUAAAUUAAAGAGAAAGAUGGAAUACCGUCAAUGAAAAUAAUAGGAUAUGAUAUCUUCAAAGAUAAAGAAGGCAGUGAACUUUUUACACAUAUAAUACGUAUAAUUAUUAAAGAAUAUAAAAGAAAUUAAAAAAAGGACAUACAGUACAUAUAUAAACUGGAAAAGAAGAUCAAUAAUGUAAAAGUUUGAUGUUAACACUGUUCCUUAAUUAAAAUUUCCAUAAUGAUUAUACUCGCUAUUUUCUUUCAUUUGCACAAAUCAAUAUGCUCCUUUCCCCCCUUUUUUUCUCCUGAUCACUCCUUAAAGAACGAGACAUAUAGCAUACAUAGAGAAGAGAGUACUUUGUCUCCCUCAAUAAAUACCUUGAGAAAAAAAUGUAACUCAUUAGUAGUUUCUUGAUUUUGUAAAAUUUUCUUUAUUUAAAAAAGAGUAACAUUGGAAGAAGGUCAUUAGUAUCUUUUUUAUUAUCUAAAACAACAUUUAUUAUCUUUUUUAUUAUCUAAAACAACAUUUAUUAGGAGCAAAAUAAAAAAGCUAAACAACCACUUAUUAGAAACAGAGGGAGUACUAAUUAUCUGAUAGUGUUUUCAGUGUUACGCAUCAUGAACUAAAAGCUUAAUUUAAGAAGCAUUGACUGCUUAAUGAAAUCUUUUAAUUCACAAUGAUAAUAAGGAAAUCCAAUUUGUGUUGUAUCAUUCUAGCCUUUCCAUUUUUUAUGGAGACAAAGCAUUAAUAGACAAAUGGAGAUUGGACAUAUCAAGAUUUCAGUCUCAUCCUGUCAAAUCAUUAAUUGUAAAACCUUCAUGUAUUUCUAUGUUCAGCCUAAGAUAUUAAGGGGUUAAUAUUCUUUCAAAACAUGGAGAGUUUCUGAUAUUGGGAGACAUGGUUGUUUGUCGAAUAUAUUUAUUUCUCAAUAAUUGAAAUAUAUAAUUGUAUUUGAUGUGAAGAAAGUAUUAGUUAAAAUGCAGUUUGGUUCAUUUUGGCUAGGGAUUCCAUCCUUUCCAUGUAUAAAAGUUUUUGAAUGUAAGGAUGAGAAAUCAAGGUAUCUGCUACACUUUUUUUAUAUAUACGUGUAGCGCAUGUAUCGAGAAAUUAGUAAAAGAAAAAAAAAAUUCCUCAGCUAAUUCUCAAUCAACACCAACUCCAUCUUAGGAAAGUGUGGUUGGUUCUGUUCUUCCUCGAAUUCAAUGAAUUUUUGUCAUAUUGUCAUACAUAUAACGAAUAAUAUAUAUAUNNNNNNNNNNNNNNNNNNNNNNNNNNNNNNNNNNNNNNNNNNNNNNNNNNNNNNNNNNNNNNNNNNNNNNNNNNNNNNNNNNNNNNNNNNNNNNNNNNNNNNNNNNNNNNNNNNNNNNNNNNNNNNNNNNNNNNNNNNNNNNNNNNNNNNNNNNNNNNNNNNNNNNNNNNNNNNNNNNUAUGCCUCUUUUCCUCUUUAAAUUUUAAAGUAAUAAUUAAGAAGAAAAAAGAAGAAGAUACUAUUCAAUAAUUUAAUUCUGAUACCAUCAACAUGGAAGACUCCAUUUGCUUCAUCUAACAAUGGACUUUGGCAUUAUAUAAUUAACAAAACAAUUAAUUAUUAGGAUAACUUAAUCACCGACAAAGGUUUCUUACUAUUAUCCUUAUGAGAUUCCACUAGUUAAGCUAAAUAUUUUUAAUCGACGUAAGAGUUAUGAAUGUAUAAACAAGUAGAUCUUAGCUACAUUGACCUAGUCAAUCAUUAUUAUUACCGACAUAUUUAUGCUAUACAAAUAUUUGUCCUAAUGCUAUCUUUUAUUUAUUUUUUUAAUGGAAAAGGGUCAAAAAGAUUCCUGAAUUAUUCGAAGUGGAGCAAAAAUAUCCCUCAUUAGUUUUUUGUCUCAAAAGUAUCCCUCUCUAAUGAAAUAACACCAAGCAUGUCAUGUAGACAAAAUACGUCACUUGAACAGUUCACGUCAGAUCGACCAUCUUUAUUAAAGGUGAAUGCUCCAUUAAAUGAGAGAUUUUCCAUGUGGAUAUUGGCGCCUAGCGUGGACUGUUCAAGUGGCGCUUUUUGUCCACGGACAUACUUAGUAUCAUUCUGUUAGAGAGAUGAAUAGUUUUGAGCCAAAAAUUUAAUGGAGGAAUAGUUGUAAGCAAAAAAAUUAACGAAAGAUAUUUUUACUUUAUUUCAAAUAAUUUAGGAAUAUUUUUAAUCGUUUUUUGCUUUUUUAUGAUUUCUAAGUUGCUUAUAAUUUUUUUAUUACUACAUGAUUAACAAUAUUUUUUUAUUUCCAUAAAUAACAGAGAGUAAACUAAGUUGCACCUUAAUGGUCGAAAAGUAUUCACUAUUUUUUUUAGACUUAAAGAGGUGAUUCUGAUACAUGUCUUAUGAACAAUCAUUACAAAUUUUAUUAUUUUAAAUUUUGUUUUAGAUAAGUCUAUGAUUAAGUUGUUGGUGACCAAUUUAUUCAAUUGAGUGAGGCUGGCAUGUCCAAAGAUUUUAGGACGAAGAAACGGGUUAUUAUGUUAAUUAGGUAGAUUUAUUUUAGGGAGAAAUAAGACAUAUGCUUUAAUUUGUAAAUAUUAAUAAGUAUUUUUCCAUUUAAGCAUAGCUUCUUUUAAAUUUAAAUUAGUAAUCAAACAGUGUUUAGUAGUAUUUUCUACCUUGUUGGCUUUGUCACACAUUUGAGAGAUGCUAAAAAUGUGUAUUAAAAAAAAAAUAAGAUGGAAAGAGAAGCAUACUGGCUCAAAGGUAAAGCCGCUAAAACGUGCUUUAAGGUUCAAAAAUAGUAUUUUUAUUAUAUAAUUAGUCUCUCCUAUGUUUUACAGUUUAUAGUCUAUAUGCAAUAAAUCAAAUUCUAUUAUAUAAUUUUUUAUAUAAAAAUAAAAGUUUCUUUAAAGUUAUUAAAGGAUGUCCAUUUGUUGUAAUAAAAUACAUUGAUUUUGGUUCUCAGAAUCCUAUUGGUACAUAAUAAACUUUGGCUAUUUUAAUUCAAAGUUUUAAAAUAUCAAAUACAAUUCUAUAAUCUUUAACUAAAAAUUUAAAAAUAAGAUUAUUAAACUUCCGAUGAUAUGAUUGUAUAAGAAAAUAAUAAACAUUUUAAAAUGUUAUUGUAACUUUAUAUAAUACAUGUAACAGUAUUUUUCUAGUGAUUAUAAGAAGAAUUUUAUUGAAAAAUCAAACGUAAUUGUAACUUGCGGUAUUGAAAGUAAAAUUUGAUGGCGAGGAAAAUAUGAGUCCAUUCUUAUGUCAUUAAAAUUUAUAAACCUUUUUAUUAAGAUGACUUGAAAAUGGUAUUUAACUAUAUAUAAUUUAUAAUUUUUUAAUUAUCAUAAAUAAAAUAUUUCAUUUUCGUGAUAUUUUAGUUUGGAUUGCUUUCUAUCUAUCAUUAAUGACAAAAUACAUCGUCAGACCCCUUAAAUUGACACCAUUUUUCACUUUGGCAUCUUAAGUGGACAUUGUUCACCUUUGGCAGUUCAAAUAACCAUAAAGUGUAUCAUUUUGACAUCUUUCGACAUCAAUAAAAGUGUGUGUUACACUCACUGUCAACGUGGAUAAAACGGCCAACUGAUUUAUGCCAAUUCAUUUAAAUUGCCACAUCAUUAUUUAUAUUCACAAUUAGUUUUAAAAAAAAUAAAAUCAAAACAUAUGGCAAUUAAUGACAUAAUUAUCUAACUCAUUAAUAUAUAUACAAAAUUAAAUUAAAAGAAUCAAUUAAUUACUGACACGUGACAUUUUUCAAAAUAAUUAUAAAAUUAUUUAUUUUAUUUGGACAACCCUCCACCCACCUCCCACCCCCAAACUCCAAAGUCAUCUUCUCUACCACCAUCUAUCCCCCCGAUACCCCCCACCCUAAAUCAUCUUCUCUAUUUGGCAACACCCCUCUUCCCGUCAUGUUCUCCAUCUCCCUCCCCCCCCACCACCCCCAACCCCUGCCUGAGUCAUCUUAUCCUCUCCAUUUGCCCCUUUGAAAAGAUGAACACUCAAUCAAAGAUUAUAGUAUAUAUGUAUAUCAAAGACCUUGAUUAGUCAUAGCUUGACCUCAAAAAUUAGAAGGCAUUAAAUGACUGUUUUUUUUCUUAACAAAAAAUAAAAAAGAAAUGAUUGACCUUGAAAUAUAUUCAUCAGUAGUAUGUGUGAACCUAUUCUUUGGCAACGCAGUGGUCUUCUUACUACUUCAGUUGCAGUCAUAACAUGUUGACAAAGAUGGUGAUUGCUCAACAACAAAUCACUCGUUGUUGUUAGUGUGUUAGUGUGUUUCGUUAUUCUUGAAAAGUUCAACCUCCAUUAAUGGAAGUUAAGCUAAAGAAAGGUUGUGUGAAGAAGGCAAUGUGAGGAAAUUUUUUGUAAUUAUUUGGUCAAUAAAACAUGUGCCAUUAAUUUAUUGGAUCAAUUUUUACUGAUUUGGCAAUAGAGAUUUUCAAUAGUUUUAAAAAAAAUUUAAAGAUGAAAAAUUACAAAAAUAUCCCUAAAAAUUUAUGAAAAUACUCUUCAAACGCUCCAAAAAGUGAGCAACGUCCACUUGAAGUGCCAAAAUGAAAGAUAGCACCAAGUUGAGGACCGACAAUAUAUUCUUUCUUCAUUAAUUAGUGCAUGUACUACUCCUGUACUCCAUUGGUUUUGAUUUUUUCUUGUUCCUGCACAUUAUUUCUCCUUUUUUACUGUCUAUAUAGUACUAUUUUUUAACUUAGUAUGUUGAAAUUAAUUAUUUUUUAUUUGCAUAUGAAAAAGAAAUACUUAACUAGAUUGAUUCUUAUUCGUAUAUAAAAAGUUAAAAUAGUGAAAUUCAAGAAAAAUAUAUGAAUUUUAUAUUUGGCUUUAGAUGGCUAAUUAUAUUAAGCCGCCCUUGAAGGGACGGUGAAUUGUAAUAUUUUUUGUGGUUGACUAUGAGGCGAGCUAUAAUAUGAAAUCAAAUAAGUAACAUAGUAUAAUUAUGUGCUAAGUAAUGUGUCAUAUGAUAUUUUUCAAUUGAUUUGAAUUCAGUGUGAAUUAUAGUUAGUCCUUCCUUUUGGAUUUUUGUUAAACUGAAAUUUUCAUUUUUAUUACAUAGAGAGAGAAGUUAUAAAAAGGAUGAUUACAACGUGUUGUAACUUUUCAGGACGAAGAACAACAAGUCAUUGUUUUAUUAAAGAGGGAUUGUCCCUUGUCCAUAUCAGCUUUCAAGAAAAUAACAGAACAAAUGUUGAAUCUACUACUAUGAGAAAUUCAUCAUUUGUUUUGUUGGAGUUAGCCAAUGUCUGCUUUCUCCUUCCUAAUCCUAAAAUUAGCCAAACCAACUUUAUCCAACCUAUAAGUCCUUUAUAUUCAUCAUUAAGCUCUUGAAAUUGUUGUUGAGUACAAUGUUGAGGGUGUACUUAAUUUCUAAUCAUACAAUAGCGGUCUUUUUCACUCUUUGUAGUUGAUAUAUUGCCUCACCAAACACUAUUUUCCUCUCUUCGCUCUUUUUAAAUACACAAUAAAUGAAUUAGGAAGUUACAAUGCUUGUUAAGAAUAGCAUAGAGCUUUGGAGAAUGUUUGGACAGGAUGUACAGUUUCUUUUCCUAGAAGGCAUAUAUAGUCUUUGUGUGCUUGAUGUCUUGAAAAAGGAUAGAGAAAGACAAUCCAUACUACAUGAAAAAUAUUGAAUUGAGACAUAAUAUUUAUCAAUGGACAAGUCUGGCAUAGAGUUUAAACGGAUUUGUGAUAGAAUUAACUAAUUUAUAGUGUUGAUUUUAAUUUUUUCAAAAAUAAAUCAUAAAAUAGAUUGCCUAGCUUGACGUGUUAUGUGAUAUUAUGCAUAGAUUAAGUCCAUUGGAGGUUGUCUGAUUAGAGAAUCGGACAAUGCUUAGCAUGGGAAUUUCAUUGAAUAUGGAGCUAAGUGAGACUUUAAUCUCUCAUUUACUUGCUUUUUCAAAAGCAUUAUUUAAAACUGAGAAAUCGCUUCAAACUACUCCUCCACCCCAUUUUAGUUGGGCACAUUCUAUUUUAUACGGUGAUUAAGAAUCAUAAAUUGAAUGAUAAAUUUUACGAUCUUACCCUUUACUCAUAUUAAUGUUAUUCGUUGGGCAUAAGAAUGAACAUUGAAAUUGAAAUUGUUAACAUUUAAUAUAUACUAAAAAUUGUAGGGGAAAAAUAAAAAAAUAAUUAAUUUUAUCCUAAUUUAGUAAGUGGUCUUUUUUGGUGGGCUGAAACGCAUUAAAAAGAAAUAGCGGAGUAUUACAGUAGCACCUGGAUUAACCAGGAUCUACAAAAUUUGAGUUUGAGCUUAUGCCCUCUAAUGAAACAUUACAACACCUUGUUUGCCUAAUGAAACUAGUUCCUAGGAUGUCAGCCCAGGUAGCUUUGCAGCAUACAUUGGAGGAAUUACAAAAGAGUUUCUCUGUCCACAAACUUUCAGUCUUGCUCCUUCCUUAGCUAAUGCAUCCUUCACCAUAUUCUGCUCUUUAUAGCAGUGCUGGAUUUGUGGUCGUCCCAGACUCCUGAUUAGCAACCUGCAUCCAUUAAUUAUGGCAUUAUAGUGGAGGUUUCCCUCUUUGAGCAUAAUAAUAACCUUUUUCGAGUCUACAUUGAUGUCCACGGGAACUAAGGACAUUUCCUCCAUAAUUUUUAGUCCCUUUAGUUGAGCAAAGAGCUCCAUCUGGUUAUUAGUAAUCACAGGGAAAACUUUUUUGAAACCUGUAGUCCAAUUCCCUUCAUUGUCUCUAAUAACCCCUCCAAUACCACCCCUACCAGGAUUUCCCAAACAUGAGCCAUCAGUGUUAAGUUUAAAUCUUUCUUUAGAGGUUGGUUCCCACUUAACACUAAUGUUCAAUAAUCUAUUUGUCACGACCUGAAUCAAGGUCUGGCCGUGAUGGGCAUCCCUAGCCAACCAAGGUCGGAGAUGACCCCUAACCUUACCUCAAGAGCACAUCAGUAAAAACAAACAACAAAAUCCAACCAAGAUAAAAAGAGAAACAUAUGAUUCCAAAAGAAAGUUAAGAGUCAAAACCAACUCCAUAAUAAUAUCCCGACACUGCCUACAAAAGUCUCUAAUCCAAAAAUACCAACUAAGUCAAGACAUGUCCCCGACUAUAACAAAAGAAAUUCAAAAGUUCUGAAAUGAUAAAUGUAACUAAGAAAGAGGCCAAGUCUUUUGAUAGUUCAUAAGUUGGUUGAACUUGUGUUGAACUUAUUGUGGAUUAAAUACAAAUUUUGUACCCAGAAUAACAAUCUUAAGGAAUUUAUUAAUAAUUUUAAUUUUUGAGUUUCUAGAGAUUAAAACUUUUUGCUUUCUACGCUGUUUGAACUUUAUAGUGAUUUGAAGUUAUAAAAACUUCAUCACGGGUUAAUGUUCAUUCAGUUGAUGAUUAGAAGAACAUAAAAGCUUCAACAUUAAACUAGAAAUAAGUUGUUUAAAGUUUUUAAAACUUUAUUCUUAGUAUUUUGACUUACUAAAUUGGUUGUCUUUUUGUCACAGUAAAAAUGAUUAUUGAAAAUCAAGUUAAUGAUGGAAUGGUCAAUGUCACAACAACAAAUAUUGCUACUUAAAAUCGUUCAAAUGCUGCUCCGCCAAGGCACUGACAGAAAAAUCAGAAAGUUUUCUAGUGUGGAUUUUAAAAGAUGGCAGCAGAAGUUGUUCUUUUAUCUGACUACAUUAAAUCUACAAAGGUUCAUCACUGAAAGCAUUUCAGAGUUUUCGAAAGAAAUAUCCAAAAAUAUACUUUAUUACUACAAAAGCUUGAAAGCACUUGAAUUUUUUAUAUAAGAACUACAUACUGAGUGGCUACAACAUGGCAUGUACAAUGUGUACAGCAAUAUGAAGACCUCUAAGGAACUAUGGGUAGCUUUGGAAAAGAAGUACAACAUAGAGAAUGCAUGAAUGAAGAAAUUUAUUAUUGCAAGAUUUGUAGAUUUUAGGUGGUAGACAGUAAUACUGUAGUUACCCAAGUUCAAGAACCGCAAGUCAUCAUUCAUGAUCUCCUCACCAAAGGUAUAAAUUUGUUCUUGAUACUUACAUAGUCUCUGAUGUAGGCUUAAUUGUGAACGAGGCUUAUCAAGUAGCUGCUAUAAUCGAGAAGUUACCACAUUUGUGGAAAGACUUCAAAAACUACUUAAAGCACAAGCACAAGGAGAUGUCUUUCGAAGACCUUAUUGUGAGGUUAAGAAUCGAAGAGGACAAUAAAGCAUCAGAAAAGAGGUCUCGAUGGAAUUUACAAUAAGUAGAGAAAAUAUUGUGGAAGACGACCCCCAAUAAAUUAAAGAGAGAAAGGAAGCGUCAGGACAAUAAGGCAAUCCUCCUAAGAAGAAAUUCAAAGAAAAUUAUUUUAACUGUGACAAAGUUGGCCACAAGUCUUCAGAUUGUCAGGCUCCUAAGAAGGACAAGAAAAGAGGAUCAAGCUAACAUGGUUGAAUCCAAGAUGAUGUGGAGAUCUAUGUGCUAUGCUUUUGGAGUGCAUGUUGGUUGAAAAUCCUAGAGAGUAGUGGAUUAAUUCAGGUGCCACUAGCCACAAUGUGCCAACAAAAAAUUAUUUCCAUUAUAUUUUCUGGCUCAGGCUAAUGAGAACAUAUUCACGGUAACUCUGUUACGGUAAAGAUUGAAGGAAAAUGCAAGAUUUACUUGAAGAUGACAUUGGGCAAGGUGGUGACACUAAACAACGUCCUUUAUGUUUCAAAGUUGCGAAAGAACUUAGUUUCUACUUCACUUCUAACUAAAAAUAGAUUCAAAUAAGAAUUUGUUUCUGACAAAGCUGUAAUUAGUAAGCAAGAAGUGUAUGUAGGUAAAGGUUACUUCAUCGAGGAUUUUUUUAAGAUCAGUGUAAUAAAUGUUGAAAUCAAUAAAAAUUCUGUUUCUUCUUACUUACUUGAGUUAAAUGAAUUAUGGCAUGAACAUUUAGGACAUAUUAAUUACAAAACUUUGCAAAAACUGAUUAAUUUAAAAAUUUUGCCUAACUUUGAGUGUAAUAAAUCAAAUUGUCAAACAUGUGUGGAAUCUAAGUAUGCUAAGCAUCUAUAUAAGUCUGUUGAAAGGAAUUUCAAUCCCUUAGACUUAAUCCACACAAAUAUUUAUGCUAUGAAGUCAAUACCAUCUCAUGGUGAGAAAAAGUAUUUCAUAACUUUUAUUAAUGAUUGCGCUAGAUAUUGUUAUUUUUAUUUGCUAAAUGAUAAGAAUAAAGUAAUAGACGUAUUUUGGUAAUAUAAAACUAAAGUUGAAAACCAGUUGGAUAAAAAGAUCAAAAUAAUAAGAAGUAAUAGGAGUAGAGAGUAUGUAUCUUCUUUUGCAGGGGUAUGUUAGAAAAAAGGAAUUAUCCAUCAAACUAAUUUCCCGUAUUCACCUCAAUCAAAUGGGAUUGUGAAAAGAAAAAUUGAAUGUUAAAGAAAAUAAUAAUUGUCUUACUCAUAAGUUCAGAUAUACCGCAAAACUUGUGGGGGGAAGUUAUCCUUACAGCAAAUCGAAUACUCAAUAGAGUUCCCUAUAAGAAGACACACUCUAUCCUAUAUGAAAAUGAAAAGGAAGGAAACCCAACUUGAAAUAUUUCAAAGUGUGGGAUUGUCUAGCUAAAGUCCAAGUCUAUAUACCUAAAAGGAUAAAAAUAGGACCAAAGAUUGUGGAUUGUGUGUUCAUCGUAUAUGCUACAAGGAGUAAAGCAUUUCAAUAUUUGGUUCAUAAAUUCGAACCAUGAAAAUACGAUAAUCUGAAUCAGAUAAUAUUAAGUUCUUUGAAUACAUUUAUCCGUAUAAAAUUGGACAUGAGAUGUCUAGUGGAGGAUCUAAACAACCUCGAGAUGAACCAAAGGAGAAUGUACUUAAUAAUGAGAAUCAAGGUGUAGUACACGUCAAAUACCGUCAAUUUUCUUUGGAUAAGAUUUUGUAACAUUUCUUCUUGAAAAUGAGCCUUAAAAAUUGAAAGAAACGAUGUCGUCUUCAGACCCAUCCUUUUGGAAAGAGGCAAUCAAUGGUGAUAUAGAUUCAAUCUUGAGCAACCAUACUUAGGAAUUGAUUGAUCUUUCUCCGGUAAAUAAACCUUUAGGUUCUAAAUGGAUCUUCAAAAGGAAAAUAAAAGCUAGUGGUACUUUUGACAAUUAUAAGACAAGACUUGUUGUGAAAGAUUUUAGACAAAAAGAAGGCCUUUAUUAUUUCGAUACAUACUCGCCAAUAACAAGGAUAACGUUCAUUCAGAUGUUGGUUGCGUUGACGACAGUAUAUGAUGUUGAAAUUCAUCAAAUGGAUGUGAAUACAACGUUCUUAAAUAGAGAAUUGAAGGGAGAAAUUUACAUAAAACAACCUAAGGGUUUUGUAGUUUCUGGUAAAGAAAAGAAAUUGUGCAAACUUGUUAAAACACUUUAUGGAUUAAAACAAGCACCCAAAUAGUGGUAUAUAAAAUUUGACCAAACCAUGUUGGCAAACGAUUUCAGGAUAAACGAAUGUGAUAAAUGUGUUUACAUUAAAGACACUCCAAAUCACAAAGUCAUUAUUUGUUUGUAUGUGGAUGACAUGUUGACCAUCAGUAGAGACAUUCUAACAUAAAUGCUAUGAAAUAAAUGCCUGAGGGCAAGUUUGAUUUGAAAGACCUUAGAGUUGCUGACGUAAUCUUAGGGAUAAGAAUUUUUAGAACUCCAUAGGUAUUGGCGUUGUCACAGUCGCAUUACAUUGAAAAGGUGUUUGACAAGUUCAAGCAUUUAGAUUUCAAUAUUGUUGAGACUACAUUAGACAUGAGUUUUGCAUUUCAAAAGAAUGAAGGUGAAAGUAACUCACAGUUGGACUAUGCAAGAGUGUUGAAAAGUUUGGUGUAUAUAUCAUAAAUUGUACGUGAGAAGACAUAGAAUGCACUAUUAGUAAAUUAAGUCGGUAAAAGACUACUCCUAAUCAAACUCAUUGGAUGGAUAUGAAAAAAGUUUUAGGGUAUCUAAAACAUACCCAAGACUAUGUUUUUAUUAUAACAAAUAUCCAGCGUAGAUGAGGUGACUUUUCAAAAUAAUGUAAUUUUUCGUGAACCAUUACUUUCUUUCUGAAGCACCACAUUGUGGCUAUAAAUGCCUGAAUUUUUCCUCUGAUAAAGGUAUGAAGAUUUGAAGGGAAAAACAUUUUCUUUUUCUUCUUAAAACUCUGGUAUGAUCUUCAAACUAUUGAGUGAGUUCGUUGUUCAGAAAAUUUGAGGUACCACUAUUUUUUGAAGAGAAUCAUUUUUCGUAGGGAGGAUAUAUUCCUUUAACCUCGAGUACUUGACUAGAAUAAUUUUUUUAAGGAUACAUCGUGAAUUCAGUGGAUUUGACUCAAUCGUUUCUGUCUUCAUCCCAUUUUCUUAAAGUUGGUUUUAUUAUUUUUCCAGAAAAAUAGUUUGAACAUUAUAUUGAUAGUUCUUCAUUUGUUUGAACUUGUGUUUGAAGUUUUUGAAACUUCAUUUUGAUAGGUUAUAAGUUGUUGAACUUGUGUUGAAGUUAUUGUGGAUUAAAUACAGAUUUUGUACAAAAAAUAAUACGAAAUAGCUGUGAAACCUUGGGGAGCGACCAACUAAAAGAAUUUGCACCGAAGUCGAUCCGAAAUCACUUUCAAAGUAAUGGCUUACCACGACACAAUAUUUUCAGUUCCAUAUUAAUAUUAGAGUAAUUUUUCCAACAAGUGGCAAAGUUUGUUAUUUAACUACAAAAUUUGUUCGUCAACAAAUCCUUGUUUUUCUUUUGUUGGGUAGUAUAUUUUGGUUUUAUCUAAUCAAUCUAUUGACAAGCUAAGCGCCUACGAAAACGAUGUAGAUGUUCUACCUACGGGGGCGGGGGGGUGUCUAUUACAAUUACAAAAAUAAACUGAAUGUUGAGUUUCAGUUCCACUAACACCUUGCAAAAGUGAAUUACCCAUGAAAGAUGGGGGUAUUAUAUCAAAAAAAAAAAACAUAUCUUUUGUUGUUUUCUAAUUUCUAACGAUAUAUUUUUGAUCCAUUGCUUUCCCAUAGUAUGCUAACUUGACAGCCACUUUUUUUUGCUUUUCUAUAUACGUGGAACACUUUUUUUUUCGUCAAAAUGCGAAUCAUAAUUUAAUCCGUCAAUUUUUACUAAAUUGUAAUUGUCUUUUUUUUUUUAUAAACAGAGAUAGCAGGUAACCCAAGAAAAAAAAAUGUCUAGCAGAACAUAUUACGCAUCCUCGAAACUACUAUGACCUAUAAAACUAGAUGAUAAAAAAAUUGGUUUUAUCAUACUGGCACACUUGUAGAUGUUCCAUAAUUCAUGUAAAUUUACUUCAGAUGAAUUGUAGUUUUUGUGUUCAAAUUCAUAUAAAAACGAAAUGAUUUAAGUUUCGUUCUUUGAAUAUCGCCAUACAGAAAUAAAAUAGAACAAGGGGAGUACUUUUCUAGGUCUCUAUUUGAUAUUUUAUCAGUAACAAUUUGAAAAUAGUCAUAACUCAUACACGUAGUAGUAGGUGGAAAUGUUUCUGAUUGAAUUCGGCAUAAAAAUAUUUUUAUGGAAAAAAAGUUUCUUCUAGUUUUGGUUUAUAAGUGGAUCAAUUUUUGUGGAAAAAAAGUUUCUGCUAGUUUUGGUUUCUAAGUGGAUCAUUCCCUAGCGCUCUACUAAAUGAUUUAAUUUUAUAUAAAGAAGAUGAAAUUAUAAGAAAAAAGAGAAAAAAGAAAAAGACUAGAGAUCUAAAGAAGGGAAAACUUAAAGUAUGUGGUAAUAACUUCUUUUAUUCAUCACAUAAUCUCUGCAUUUUGCAAGGAGAUUGAAACUGAGCAAACAUACACAAAGACAUAAAAGUAAAAAUACAAAUAUAAAUAGAGUACAAACAAUAUCACUAAUAACUUAGAGAACAUGAAGCUACAAAAGAACUUCGCCUCCCGUGGGGCUUAUUGUUUACUCUUUUUUCUUCUUUUUGGCAUUGCCUCUCGAAAUGGAAAAUGCCUUUCCUUGAGCUCAACAUUCUGCUUUUCCUGCAUAAGAAUAUAAUAUUGUCAAUGAGAACAUAUAGUAACUGAUUAAUAAACCUAAUAAGUAGGAGAUAGCAUAGGCUUAUAUAUUAAUGCGUUUGCAUGAAGAAAUUGUGCAACUUGUAUUGAUUUGCAUUUAGACAAAUCAUUUUUAAGAAUUUUAGUUUGGCUUAAUUACCUUAGAUUUGAUGUUGUUGUUUCUUAGUGAUGGUAGGGAGGAGGUGGAGACUUGUAAACCGGAGUUGGUGGUGGUGGAGACUUGUAUACUGGUGCAGGAUGGUGUGGUGUUGGUGAAGGAUGGUAUGGAUUCACUGGUGGUGGUGACUUGUAAACGGGUGUUGGUGGUGGUGGAGAUUUGUAUACUGGUGCAGGGUGGUAUGACUUCACUGGUGGUGGUGGUGACUGGUAAACGGGUGUUGGUGGUGGUGGAGACUUAUAAACUGGUGCAGGAUGAUAUGGCUUCACUGGUGAUGGUGGUGACUUGUAAACGGGUGUUGGUGGUGGUGGAGACUUAUAAAUUGGUGUGGGAUGAUAUGGUGUUGGUGGAGGAUAGUAUGGCCUCUUAGGUGGUGGUGGUGACUUGUAAACUGGAGUUGGUGGUGGUGGCGACUUGUACACUGGAGUGUGUGGCGGGUAGUAUGGCUUUUUGGGUGGUGGUGGGGACUUGUAAACUGGAGUUGGGGGUGGUGGAGACUUGUAAACUGGGGUGUGUGGAGGGUAGUGUGGUGGUGACUUGUAAACUGGAGUCGGGGGUGGUGGAGACUUGUAAACUGGGGUGUGUGGAGGAUAAUGUGGCUUCUUUGGUGGUGGUGGGGACUUGUAAACUGGAGUGUGUGGAGGAUAGUGUGGCUUCUUCGGUGGUGGUGGUGACUUGUAAACAGGAGUUGGUGGUGGUGGCGACUUGUGAACUGGUGCGGGAUGAUAAGGUGUUGGUGAAGGGUGGUAUGGCUUCUUAGGUGGUGGUGGAGAUUUGUAAACAGGAUGAUGAUGGUGUGGUGGAGGGGACUUAUAUACUGGGUGGUGAUGGUUUGGUGGAGGAGACUUAUAUACUGGGUGGUGGGGUGGAGAUGGAUAGACAUGCACUGGUGGAG
RNAcentral lists this long non-coding RNA (26380 nucleotides) under Capsicum annuum. Its description in RNAcentral is "long non-coding RNA (CANN_LNC020227)". Lineage: Eukaryota; Viridiplantae; Streptophyta; Magnoliopsida; Solanales; Solanaceae. The record is from RNAcentral.